CUUGCUGUUAGACACCGAUGGAGCCUAAUCAGAUUGCAUAUGCUGAAAAAUAGCAGGCCAAGCAUUAUAUUCGCUGCAGGAGACACAUCAAUAGCAGCUGUUCAAAAGCGUUACGGCAAAAUUCAACCUGCGGAUCCUUGGAGAGCGAUGUGCGUGUUGUGCGAUUUCACCAGGCACGCACCACCAAGUUAUUUUGACGAACAACAUGGAUUUCCUAUCAAUUUUGACCAUGGGGCUGCAGCUCAGGAAGUGUCCAUUAGUUUUGCAAGGCUAUACAGUCCUGGUGGGUUAUUUCUUUAAUUUGAUUAAGGAUUUACACAUUAAUACUAUUU
RNAcentral lists this long non-coding RNA (332 nucleotides) under Chlamydomonas reinhardtii. RNAcentral's name for it is "long non-coding RNA (CREI_LNC000200)". The record is from RNAcentral. Lineage: Eukaryota; Viridiplantae; Chlorophyta; Chlorophyceae; Chlamydomonadales; Chlamydomonadaceae.